This 452-nucleotide ribosomal RNA is filed under the name Streptomyces sp. RNAcentral describes it as "bacterial SSU rRNA". It matches the Rfam family "Bacterial small subunit ribosomal RNA", at positions 502 to 951 of the family's 1533-position model. The record is from RNAcentral. Lineage: Bacteria; Bacillati; Actinomycetota; Actinomycetes; Kitasatosporales; Streptomycetaceae.
UACGUGCCAGCAGCCGCGGUAAUACGUAGGGCGCAAGCGUUGUCCGGAAUUAUUGGGCGUAAAGAGCUCGUAGGCGGCUUGUUGCGUCGGAUGUGAAAGCCCGGGGCUUAACCCCGGGUCUGCAUUCGAUACGGGCAGGCUAGAGUUCGGUAGGGGAGAUCGGAAUUCCUGGUGUAGCGGUGAAAUGCGCAGAUAUCAGGAGGAACACCGGUGGCGAAGGCGGAUCUCUGGGCCGAUACUGACGCUGAGGAGCGAAAGCGUGGGGAGCGAACAGGAUUAGAUACCCUGGUAGUCCACGCCGUAAACGUUGGGAACUAGGUGUGGGCGACAUUCCACGUCGUCCGUGCCGCAGCUAACGCAUUAAGUUCCCCGCCUGGGGAGUACGGCCGCAAGGCUAAAACUCAAAGGAAUUGACGGGGGCCCGCACAAGCAGCGGAGCAUGUGGCUUAAUU